GCCAGCCCGCUCAGAAACUUAAAGGAAUUGACGGGGCCCGCACAAGCGUGGAGCAUGUGGUUUAAUUCGAAGCAACGCGAAGAACCUUACCAGGCCUUGACAUGCAGAGAACUUUCCAGAGAUGGAUUGGUGCCUUCGGGAACUCUGACACAGGUGCUGCGUGGCUGUCGUCAGCUCGUGUCGUGAGAUGUUGGGUUAAGUCCCGUAACGAGCGCAACCCUUGUCCUUAGUUACCAGCACGUUAUGGUGGGCACUCUAAGGAGACUGCCGGUGACAAACCGGAGGAAGGUGGGGAUGACGUCAAGUCAUCAUGGCCCUUACGGCCUGGGCUACACACGUGCUACAAUGGUCGGUACAAAGGGUUGCCAAGCCGCGAGGUGGAGCUAAUCCCAUAAAACCGAUCGUAGUCCGGAUCGCAGUCUGCAACUCGACUGCGUGAAGUCGGAAUCGCUAGUAAUCGUGAAUCAGAAUGUCACGGUGAAUACGUUCCCGGGCCUU
This 498-nucleotide ribosomal RNA is filed under the name uncultured Pseudomonas sp. Its description in RNAcentral is "bacterial SSU rRNA". It matches the Rfam family "Bacterial small subunit ribosomal RNA", at positions 903 to 1382 of the family's 1533-position model. Lineage: Bacteria; Pseudomonadati; Pseudomonadota; Gammaproteobacteria; Pseudomonadales; Pseudomonadaceae. The record is from RNAcentral.